GAGACCCGGGCCCUCGCCGCCCGCCCGCUUAGCGCCACCCAGGGGACCCGGCUGUCCAGCCCCGGCCCCUGAGGCCGGACGUCUUGACCCUGGGCCUCUCCGGCCCGCUGGGCCCCUCCCCUAUCCGCGGCCCCGCCCCCACCCACAAGGUCUCGGCUUGCCCUGGGGUCCUCACAGGCCCCCACACGUCGUGACCUCGGAGAUGAGAGACUUCACAACUCCCCUUGCCGCCCCCGGAUACCGCUCCCCGCCCGGGACCCCGACGUCUGGCCUCCCAGCCCCCGGGUGGGCUGCGGCUGGCCGUCCCCCUCCCUCCGCACAGGAAGUGUCCGUCCGCGGCCAGUUUCCCCCGCUGGCUAGCGCCGCGGCCUCUCUAGGAGCGACUGGAGGUGGAAACUCGUUGGCAUUAACCCUGGGCUGGAUGGCCCCGGCGUCGAGGUAGGCGAGGACUGGGCGCCCUGGAGCCGGCGGGAGAAGCUGGGACAGUUUGUAUGCCUAUGUCCUAGGUCCUGUCCUCCCGGGGGCCUAUACGUCCGUCUCCCGGCCCUGCGUCCGUCAGUGCCUGUGGCCAAGGGCGAGGCAACAAGCGAGACCAAGGUUCCAGGUGCCGAAGUGGCCAGUCGGGGGGGAUCCUGCCGCAGAAAGAAGGUUGUUUCCUCUUCUGUUACCCUGCCUCUCCCCUCCACCUUCCCCAAAGACUGAGUUUAACUCAAUCCCUUGGAGCCUUUGUCCCUGGUUCCUGGAUUUUCUCAGGAGUGGAAGUGGAUAGGAGAGAACCACUCUCCAGUCCUGUCUGACUUGGAUAGAGGCUUGUAGAGGAAGGGAACCUGAGAAACACUGCCCUAGGUGCAGCUUUGAAUCAAAGGAAAAGUGACCCUGGAAAGACAAUUUAAUAGGAUCCAGUUCUUGUCCUUCUACUACCCUUGCUGCUGAAACUAGUUGGUAGUGUUCUUUCUUCUUUUUUUUCCCGGUACGCGGGCCUCUUACUGUUGUGGCCUCUCCCGUUGCGGAGCACAGGCUCCGGACGCGCAGGCCCAGCGACCAUGGCUCACGGGUCCCGCCGCUCCGCGGCAUGUGUGAUCCUCCCGGACCGGGGCACGAAGCCGUGUCCCCUGCAUCGGCAGGUGGACUCUCAACCACUGCGCCACCAGGGAAGCCCUGGUAGUGUUCUUGACAAUUAAUGAACCAAAUUCUCUCUGUGGGAGUGAUGCAGGAACCAUAGAUUGUGUUUUCUUGUUGCCUUACCAGACAAAGGAAAGGAGGAAACUACUUAGGAGGAAAGAUGGCAUCUUCCAUUCUCCUGAAAGGAGAUGAGAACAAGAAUUUGGAGAAUUCCAAAGGAGAAAAGGCUGGAGAGACGCGAUCUCAGUUCUCAGUAGAGGCUUACAGACAGAAUCACAGAUAGAGAUACCUUCCUACAAAUAAAGCAGGAGUCUUUUUCUGCCCUCCAGAGGAUCAGCUUCCAGCUCCAUGCCUCUCUCCCAUCCCACUGUCUGUCCUAAAACCUUCAUGAAGAAUGGCUCACAGGGUCCAGCGCUAGAGGGCCCACACAGGCAGAACACCCUACAAGUGCAGUGAUUAUGGGAAGAGCUGGACCUGGGCCACCUCCUGGUCAUCCCCAAAGCACACAAAUGAGAGACAAAAGUCUCCUUCAUGAGACACUUUUCUCUGACCUCCUACCUGCUUACCCACCAGAAAAUUCCCACAGGAGAGCAGCCGUCCCCUGCAAAGUAUGUGGCGAGUCCUCCAGCCCCAGCUCUGACAUGGUCCCUGCCUGCACUCUUCAUAGCGUGGGCCACAAGCCCCACGAAUAGCAGAAGUUGGGCCAGGGCUUCAGUCUGCUCUGGCACCAGUAUUUCCAUGUGGAAAUUCAGUCUCACUAGUACCUGGCUGACUUCCAGGCAGCCUCCUCCAGCACCUAUCCUCUCUAUGCAAUGGACCUUCGAGAGGCAGCCAGCCUCUGCCGGCCGCAUGCCCAUAGCAGGGAUAGGCUCUAAGCACAGGGAAGACUCUGAUGAGGGUUCCAACUUGACCAAGUGCAUGUCCUGAGUUGGGCAGCCACUUUGUCCACAGCAUCAUCCCUCAAUGUGCAGCAGCACUGGGGCAGUGUGCAGCCACAGUUCAUGGUCCAACCAACUUGGCCCACACCCAAGAGAGUCCUGACAAAGGCUCUGUGUGAGAGGGGCUUCUGUGUGAUCUGCUUCCUCCCUGCAUGCAAAGGACAAGCCCUCUAAGAGGGCUUCUGUCAGAUGCUACAAGAGAUGCCCAGGUAUAUUCAAGAAGCUUUGAGGUACCCAGAAAGAGACCAAUCAUGACACAGGCCCCUUUGCGAAGAACAAAGGAAAUGGGAGUCUUUGUGUAUGGCGAAGUCAUCAGCUGGCCUGACACAUUUGGAACAGGCCCUGACACCAACCCCUACUCUUCUAACGCUAAGAACAGCUAGAAAAUAACAUUUUUACGUUCAGAGCAGUGGUUCUCUCAAACUUUAGCAGCCAUAAGAUUCCAUUGCUGGAGAUACAAUAAACUAGGGACAGGCCCAGGGAGCUAGCUGCAUUUUGAAGAGAUAACUGCAUGUGAUUCUGUGGCAGAAAGGCCUUACUUUGAAAAAUAUUGGCCUAGAGCAGGUUUUAGCUUCUGAGUCAUAAACGUCUUUGCAUGCACUGUUCCUAGAAAGAUACACAUAAACAAAUAUUCCCCCCAAAUUUAGGGGUCUUUGGAGCUCAGAUCAAUACUUAUCCUUUACAUGGCUUGGACAAACUAGGAAGGGGCAUGUGGUCAUGGCCUUGACCUCUCACUCUGGCCAUGUGGAUGGGGCUCAUGUUUUCACUGAUGCAGACAAGCAUUUCUCCUGAUGCACCAAUGAAGCCCUAGGAAAACCCUCUUCCUGGCUUAAAUUGCUUCAAGGGCUGAGCCUCAAAAACCUGUGGUAGUGGAGAGAAAAGGGAGCCUUACCUUUAGGGGAAGUAUCCGUGCCAAGGAGUGAGGAGCCAAGAAGGGGGUGAGGCUGAGGCUUAAGCGUUCCAUGAUACUCAAAUAUUAAGUGAGGGGGAAAUUGGGUCACGAGGGCAGGAAGCAGAGGAGUUGGUUCUGGUUUGGGGGCCCUACGCAAGUCUUGAAAACUUAAGCGCACUCAGAGAAAGUAGUAAUUAUACCUUUAAUUGGCAAGCUCAGACAGGGUCCAGAUCUGGCUUUGAGGCUGACCUGAGAAGUGGUAUUGCAGGCUGAGUUUCCCCCAGGCAGUGCUGAGGGGCAGGGGAAGGAUGGGUUGGACACUGGCUUCUCUAGGGGAAUAAAAGCUGGCACAAAGGUAGCUACUACUGCCAAGGUGCCUCUCCUUACUCCCACAUUCCCCCUGUGACAGGUGGCAUAUGAGCCAAUCCUCCUGGUGAAGUUUAGUAUAAGAGAGAUCUUGGUGGGGUCAGAUUGGAAGAUUAGGUUGGAAUCAAGUCAGUCCAUCACUUUACCUGAAGUGUCUUUUCCCCAAGUUUUGUACCUCUUCCUAUAGAAGUUUCUUUAGGUUGACAAAUCUGGUUUCUUCCUAAGGCCAGACACAGGGCUGAGUUCUCAGAAGGGAAGUGCACACAGGCCACCGAGGACAUAAGUCUUUGCUACUUCUACUUGAGGGGAAGGGUCAUCCUGACCAGAGGCAAGAAAGGGUCUGCACAUGGCUGGCUGCUUCCAUCACCUGGACAAGGCUGGACUCUGACCACAAAGGAAUGAGUGGUAGAUGGAUGAUGGAGUCACAGGGUGAUGGGGGAGGGAUUCUGUGCAGAGCUUGGGAAUAUAGAAUAGUACAGUUCCCUCUGGCUACUAACCCCAAAUGUUCCUGGCCUUGUCCCCCUUUGCUGGUGAUGGAGGUCCUGAAGAGAGUGAAGAUGCGAGCUUUGCUUUUGUUGGCCCUGGAACUCUCAUCUAAGGCUGCUUUCUCCCUUGCCUUGUUGGCUAUGUGGCUGUUUUGUCACUCAUCUUGUACCUGGGCUUCACUAACACUGGGCUGCUCUGUCCCUAGUCUAGGUCAGUGCCUGGGUGUCAUCUCAGGGAGGGGGGAGAUGCUUCCAGAACCCUGGCUGAGACACUGACAAGGAACACAGGAGUGGUAUGGUAAAGACAGCAGGAAACAAAGAAUCCUAGCAUCUCACUCUGUGUGUGACCUUGGACAGGUUGCUCAGCUUUCCCCAGUCUCAGUGUCCCCAGAUGCAAAAGGAUGGAAAAGCUAAGAUCUCUUCCAGUUCAAAAAUGUGAUGAGGCCCUCCUGGCUGGGCCUAGAAUAGCAAAGCCUGAGCCAUAGGGCUCUCCGAGGGAGGCCCAUGGAGUACUAGAGGGGUCUCUCAGGCCCCUGCCCUUCAAAAACAGGAAGUGCAGGUCAGCUGAGUGGUGCUGAGGUGGAGACACCACUCCAUUUGGGGCAAAACAUUCAGUCCUGACUGCCUCUUCCUGAUGGGCUGUCCUCUCCAAGCAAGAUGCUUCCUUCCAUAUGCAAUUAUGAGGGUGAAAUGAGUUGGACAAGACAGUACUUUGUAAACCAUAAAAUGCAAUACGAGCCAAGAUCUAACAUAAAGCCUCCUUUUACUUCUCUCCUGCCACCCUUUUACAAAUAUGCUCUCUACCUGAAUCCCUGAUUCAAGAACAAUUGAAUGCUGUAGACUACAGUUUGCAAACUCAAAUGACUACAGGAACCCAACAGGUCAUGUAAAUGAGUAGAAAAAUGCCAGAUGGAGAGGGCCUGCUUUGCCAGAGAUGUUGGCGAGCCAUGAUGAGUGCCAGCUGACACUGGACAGGAGGUGACAAGGAGUGGCAGGCAUGCUGAACUGGAGAGCCUGGUCUCCAUCCAAAGGGACAACUGCCCCUCAGCUCUCACCAAUUGUGGUUUUGUGGGAGCUCAGGUGGAGUUGCCAAAUCUUCGGAUUUUUCAAGAGAGGCCAGAAACCUGGUUUUCUGUGUGAAAUAUCCUGAUUUUUAAAUCUUAACCAAUAAUUCAUAACAUUUAAAAAUGCUGGCUGGGCUAAAAAAAAAAAAUUAAAG
Molecule: long non-coding RNA, 5022 nt
Organism: Globicephala melas (long-finned pilot whale)
Lineage: Eukaryota; Metazoa; Chordata; Mammalia; Artiodactyla; Delphinidae
Source: RefSeq, a predicted model, not a curated record